CAGUCGCCGCGGUAAUACGUAGGGCGCAAGCGUUAUCCGGAAUUAUUGGGCGUAAAGAGCUCGUAGGCGGUUUGUCGCGUCUGCCGUGAAAGUCCGGGGCUCAACCCCGGAUCUGCGGUGGGUACGGGCAGACUAGAGUGAUGUAGGGGAGACUGGAAUUCCUGGUGUAGCGGUGAAAUGCGCAGAUAUCAGGAGGAACACCGAUGGCGAAGGCAGGUCUCUGGGCAUUAACUGACGCUGAGGAGCGAAAGCAUGGGGAGCGAACAGGAUUAGAUACCCCUGUAGUCCCUGUCUCUUAUAU
RNAcentral lists this ribosomal RNA (301 nucleotides) under uncultured bacterium. RNAcentral's name for it is "partial 16S ribosomal RNA". It matches the Rfam family "Bacterial small subunit ribosomal RNA", at positions 509 to 809 of the family's 1533-position model. The record is from RNAcentral.